UACGUAGGGUGCAAGCGUUAAUCGGAAUUACUGGGCGUAAAGCGUGCGCAGGCGGUUUUGUAAGCCAGAUGUGAAAGCCCCGGGCUUAACCUGGGAAUGGCAUUUGGGACUGCAAGGCUUGAGUGCGGCAGAGGAGACUGGAAUUCCUGGUGUAGCAGUGAAAUGCGUAGAUAUCAGGAGGAAUACCGAUGGCGAAGGCAGGUCUCUGGGCUGACAAUGACGCUCAUGCACGAAAGCGUGGGGAGCAAACAGG
RNAcentral lists this ribosomal RNA (253 nucleotides) under uncultured bacterium. RNAcentral's name for it is "partial 16S ribosomal RNA". It matches the Rfam family "Bacterial small subunit ribosomal RNA", at positions 524 to 776 of the family's 1533-position model. The record is from RNAcentral.